CACACAGUAAACGAUAAUCACUAGGUGUUGGGUUCUUAAGAGGAUUCAGUGCCGGAGCUAACGCGAUAAGUGAUUCGCCUGGGGAGUACGAUCGCAAGGUUGAAACUCAAAGGAAUUGAC
Molecule: ribosomal RNA, 120 nt
Filed under: uncultured bacterium
Lineage: Bacteria
Description: partial 16S ribosomal RNA
Rfam family: Bacterial small subunit ribosomal RNA
Source: RNAcentral